UGCGUAGGCGGGUUUCUAGGUCAGAGGUGAAAGCCUGGAGCUCAACUCCAGAACUGCCUUUGAUACUGGAAGUCUUGAGUAUGGCAGAGGUGAGUGGAACUGCGAGUGUAGAGGUGAAAUUCGUAGAUAUUCGCAAGAACACCAGUGGCGAAGGCGGCUCACUGGGCCAUUACUGACGCUGAGGCAAAGACUGGGGAGCAAACA
This 204-nucleotide ribosomal RNA is filed under the name uncultured bacterium. RNAcentral describes it as "partial 16S ribosomal RNA". It matches the Rfam family "Bacterial small subunit ribosomal RNA", at positions 568 to 774 of the family's 1533-position model. The record is from RNAcentral.